UACGAAGGGGACUAGCGUUGUUCGGAAUUACUGGGCGUAAAGCGCACGUAGGCGGACUGUCAAGUCAGGGGUGAAAUCCCGGGGCUCAACCUCGGAACUGCCGCUGAUACUGUCAGUCUAGAGUCCGGAAGAGGUGGGUGGAAUUCCUAGUGUAGAGGUGAAAUUCGCAGAUAUUAGGAAGAACACCGGUGGCGAAGGCGGCCCACUGGUCCGGAACUGACGCUGAGGUGUGAAAGCGUGGGGAGCAAACAGG
RNAcentral lists this ribosomal RNA (253 nucleotides) under uncultured bacterium. RNAcentral's name for it is "partial 16S ribosomal RNA". It matches the Rfam family "Bacterial small subunit ribosomal RNA", at positions 524 to 776 of the family's 1533-position model. The record is from RNAcentral.